This 565-nucleotide ribosomal RNA is filed under the name uncultured Flavobacteriia bacterium. RNAcentral describes it as "bacterial SSU rRNA". It matches the Rfam family "Bacterial small subunit ribosomal RNA", at positions 8 to 571 of the family's 1533-position model. The record is from RNAcentral. Lineage: Bacteria; Pseudomonadati; Bacteroidota; Flavobacteriia.
AGGGUUUGAUCAUGGCUCAGGAUGAACGCUAGCGGCAGGCUUAACACAUGCAAGUCGAGGGGUAGAUUUUCUUCGGAGAAUUGAGACCGGCGCACGGGUGCGUAACGCGUAUGCAACUUACCUUAUACUGGGGGGAUAGCCCGGAGAAAUUCGGAUUAAUACCGCAUAUGCUCACAGUUUCGCAUGGAACAGUGAGGAAAGAUUUAUCGGUAUAAGAUAGGCAUGCGUCCUAUUAGCUUGUUGGUGAGGUAACGGCUCACCAAGGCGAUGAUAGGUAGGGGGCCUGAGAGGGUGGUCCCCCACACUGGUACUGAGACACGGACCAGACUCCUACGGGAGGCAGCAGUGAGGAAUAUUGGGCAAUGGAGGCAACUCUGACCCAGCUAUGCCGCGUGAAGGAUGAAGGUCCUCUGGAUUGUAAACUUCUUUUGUAUGGGGAUAAACUUUUCUACGUGUAGAAAACUGAAGGUACCAUACGAAUAAGGAUCGGCUAACUCCGUGCCAGCAGCCGCGGUAAUACGGAGGAUCCAAGCGUUAUCCGGAUUUCUUGGGUUUAAAGGGUCCA